RNAcentral lists this ribosomal RNA (255 nucleotides) under uncultured bacterium. Its description in RNAcentral is "partial 16S ribosomal RNA". It matches the Rfam family "Bacterial small subunit ribosomal RNA", at positions 524 to 777 of the family's 1533-position model. The record is from RNAcentral.
UACGAAGGGGGCUAGCGUUGCUCGGAAUCACUGGGCGUAAAGGGCGCGUAGGCGGCGUUUUUAAGUCGGGGGUGAAAGCCUGUGGCUCAACCACAGAAUGGCCUUCGAUACUGGGACGCUUGAGUAUGGUAGAGGUUGGUGGAACUGCGAGUGUAGAGGUGAAAUUCGUAGAUAUUCGCAAGAACACCAGUGGCGAAGGCGGCUCACUGGCCCGGUACUGACGCUGAGGUGCGAAAGCGUGGGGAGCAAACAGGG